RNAcentral lists this ribosomal RNA (652 nucleotides) under uncultured bacterium. RNAcentral's name for it is "bacterial SSU rRNA". It matches the Rfam family "Bacterial small subunit ribosomal RNA", at positions 69 to 690 of the family's 1533-position model. The record is from RNAcentral.
AAACUUUCUUACACCGAAUGCUUACAUUCACCGUAAGAAGUUGAGUGGCGGACGGGUGAGUAACACGUGGGUAACCUGCCUAAAAGAAGGGGAUAACACUUGGAAACAGGUGCUAAUACCGUAUAUCUCUAAGGAUCGCAUGAUCCUUAGAUGAAAGAUGGUUCUGCUAUCGCUUUUAGAUGGACCCGCGGCGUAUUAACUAGUUGGUGGGGUAACGGCCUACCAAGGUGAUGAUACGUAGCCGAACUGAGAGGUUGAUCGGCCACAUUGGGACUGAGACACGGCCCAAACUCCUACGGGAGGCAGCAGUAGGGAAUCUUCCACAAUGGACGCAAGUCUGAUGGAGCAACGCCGCGUGAGUGAAGAAGGUCUUCGGAUCGUAAAACUCUGUUGUUAGAGAAGAACACGAGUGAGAGUAACUGUUCAUUCGAUGACGGUAUCUAACCAGCAAGUCACGGCUAACUACGUGCCAGCAGCCGCGGUAAUACGUAGGUGGCAAGCGUUGUCCGGAUUUAUUGGGCGUGAAGGGAACGCAGGCGGUCUUUUAAGUCUGAUGUGAAAGCCUUCGGCUUAACCGGAGUAGUGCAUUGGAAACUGGAAGACUUGAGUGCAGAAGAGGAGAGUGGAACUCCAUGUGUAGCGGUGAAAUGCG